Molecule: non-coding RNA, 6277 nt
Organism: Struthio camelus australis
Lineage: Eukaryota; Metazoa; Chordata; Aves; Struthioniformes; Struthionidae
Source: RefSeq, a predicted model, not a curated record
CGCGUGUCUGGAGUGAAGUGAGGCCGUCGUACGGGUUACAAACGAGGGGGGUUUUAUCGUGCUGUUUAGCGCUAGGAGUUAUGGCAGCACCCCUGUUUCUCGGUGUAAAACAGUACUGUUAAUGUUAGAACUAACGCAGAACUGAAAUCUGCCUGAGAAACACUGUGUAUAUUGAGGCUCUGUGUAUUGUGAUGGCUCUGGGGAAGUGAUAAGGCUGACAGAAGUAAUGAAAAUGAAACAAUUUUAUGACUCGGAUCUUUCUUCUCUCUCUCUCUCUCUCUUUUUUUUUUUUUCCUUCUCCCCUCUGCCUUUAGACCAUCCAGAAAUACAGGAAGAAAUUUACAGAAAGGAUGAUAGGCUCCUCACUUUGCUAAAAGAUGUUUACGUUGAAUCUAGAGGUCCACCUGUGCAGGUAAAAGAUCAAGGUGGUGAACAUCUUCCAUGCAAACAGGAGGAAAAGAGACUUACAAAACUAGGUCAUUUGGAGGCUCUAGACGUUAAGAAAGUUCCCAAAGGCAAAAUUUCCAUUGUGGAGGCUCUGACACUUCUCAAUAAUCACAAACUUCAUCCUCAGAUAUGGACUGCGGAGAAAAUAGCAGAGGAAUACAGUCUGGAACUGAAGGAGGUCACCUCUCUUCUGGAAUUCUUCAUUCCUUUUGCUGUGCAGGAAUUUCCUACUGAAGGCAGAAAAGCUAUAAAACCAACAUAAAAAUAAUUACCAAAACCUUACGUGAUCUCACUGGUGUCUUAAUUUUACUCUGAAUGUAUUCAUUGUCUGAAAAGAAUUGUCAUCCAACAAGGCUACUUUCUUAUACCAGUAAGAUGUAUUCAGGCAAUUCCAUUCUGGCUUCAGUUAAACGCAGCAAUUAUUGGAGGCAGUUUGUAAACCAGAAUAUAACUAUUAAGUUGUAUUAAUGAGAUAAUCAGAGAAUCACGUGACAGCCUGUCAUAUGCCUGCGUUCACUUAAAAUAAGUAAGUUCUUGUUAGAACUUUCAUUAAAAUGGGUAGCCUUUCUUAACAGAGACUUCCUGGCUUUCAGCUAAAUCAGUGCUCUGUGUGCACCAGCUUUGUAGUUUCAUGUUAUGGUCCAUAUUCAAGGACUUAUUGUCAAGAUGUAUAUAUAAGAAUACUAUUAUAUUUGUUCUGUAUUAAAAUGGAAUAAUGUUUAUAAUUUGCAAAGAAGGAUAGUGAUGAGAAGACUUGGAAAAUUCAGCUCUAUCAAAAACUUAGAAUGAAGAUGAAUGGUGGCACCAGUGUUGAAUUCACAGCACUAAAAGUCCAGUUGUUCAGUGUGGGUGAACUUCGGGUGCAAAUGGAUUUAGGCUCUUGAGACUAUGGAAAUAAAGACUGGGAAAGUUCUACACAGAUUGACAUGUCAUCAGCAAUCAAAACACUAUGCUCAUCAACACUUACUCAUGGAUUCCUAUUCCUUUUGAAAGAAAUCUACAAUGUUGUACAUCUUUGAAGAAAAGUUAUUUAAAUUAUAUCAUAGGCUCAAAGCUGUGAUUAAAGGCUGAGGAGAUACUACUGAAAGUAAGUAUUUCUUUUUUUUUUUUUUCUUUCAGCAAGUAACAUAUCUCUUUGCAACGUAUAGGUUCCAUGACAUAUGUAAUUCUGCAGCCUUCAAAGAAUAAUGAAACCGCAAUGUUUCUGAAAGACCGUAAGGAAAAAACAUAGUUUUACUGACAGAGCACCCUAGGAAACCCUUGCUGGGUUUUUACACUCAAAAAUUUGUGUUUUCUGUAAUUCUGUUGUAGAAUUCUCCCCUUGCUAUAACAUUGUGCUCUAGCAUAUAACAUUUAAUUUUGCCAAAAUGUGCAAUUAUUUCUCAGCUGAAAAUGCAAGCUGGAAAAUCUGAACUGAGUGUGAACCAUACUACUCAAAUCCCCUUGAGUCUGCUGCAACCUAAAGCAAUAGCUCUGAGAAAUAUGGACUGCUCCCUUUGUCUUAACUGCCAGUUAGUUCUGAAAAGGAAGGAUGAAAAUUUAAAUCUAUUUAAAAUCAAAAGGCAGACUAUUAUAUUAGUACAUACAAGUAGCACAGACUACAAUUAUAUUAGUAUAAUUGAUUACAUAGGGCUUUUGAUGUGCUAUUUCUCUUCUCCGUCUUGAAUUUGGUUCAGACCUGUGCAGCAAUUUCCUUCAUUUUUAUAGGUUUUAACAGAGUAUGAAGGGCUUUUCUUAAAUAAACUUUUAUCCUUAAUCAAAGGGUAGUUUAGCACCUGCUUGCCGUCCCCUGCACAGAUCGUCUUUGGUUCCAGAAUUAGGAGGGAAAACAGUAGACAAAUGGAUACAAAUGCCAGGCUGAAGAAUGUUUCUUGAAGAGUUUUCAAACACAGUGUCCCUUCUACACAGGACAGUAGAGGGAUGCAUUGCAUUUGUACAGUCUUGAUCAGAAGGUUUGUUCCGAGUGCAAGAUAACUUGACUCCAAACUAACUUCAUUCAGUGCUGGUUUCACAUUAUUUCCAUGAUAAGGAGAAGUGAUUACUUAAGAGAUAGAAACCCAAUUUGCAUUCCAAUUGGCCAAACUGUUUCUAUGGUUGCAGAGUGGUAUCUAAAGAUUUAGCUGAAAAAGCAGUUUAAAGAUGAGAAAACAGCCUGUUGCAUCUUCUCAUCAGAUCUGCUAGAGUAAAAUGGAGCUCUAGGCUACAUAGGAAAUACAGGCAGGUUUUUUUUUGGCAUUGAAUCCUUGCAGAUACCCCUCUUCCCAAGUAAAACAAAACCAAAAAAACCCUGUGAAGUUCAUAUCCUCUAUUGCCAAAACUAUAGUGUAGUUGGCCUCUUUUGUGUGUUUUGUUGUUGUCUGGCAAAGCUUGCCAAAGACUUAUUAGAACAUCUUCAGUCUUACAGUAAGAUUCAGGGAACCUGAAUCAUGUGGGAAGGUGACUUACCAAUAUGCACCUAAAUGUGAAAUAGGAAAACAAGAAUAAUAUUUGUUUUAGCUAUGUGCUGCAAGGACACUUCACCCCACAUUUACUCAGAUAAAUCAUCACACAGAGCACUGACUAAUUUAUUGCUGUGUUUUUCUCUGUGGUUUAUCAUUAGAAAUAAUAUCGUCUUAUUUUUUCUGAACUCUGCUAGCAGUUAAAGUAUGAAUAAAAAAUGUAUAAUGAAAUAUAAUAAAUUAAUCUUGAGUUUUCCUGGGCAUUCUUUUUGACAUGCACCUCUCUUGCCAUGCUACAACUUUAUUUCUAUUUCAGAGAGGCUAUUUUUUAUUUUAUUUAUGAAAGUGCAGAUCAUUAGCAACACCUGUAAUUUCUAUACUAAUUUUCAGAGCUUGUCCUUAGGCCAUUAAGGUUAUACAGAGCCAAUUGCACUGGAAUAACAAGUAUUAGAUUCUUAUUAGCAUGCAGGAGCCGGAUGACAUAGUUAUAACAGGGGCUUGGCAACCUCCAUGGAAGUCAAGCAUAGUUAGCCAUCUGGGGAUUUAGGACGUAGGGGUUUAGGGGAUAAGGAACAGUCUUAGCGAAAGAAGGGGAAGAACUGAGUAUUUCAGCUGGGAAAGAGGUAAACCAGUUGCUACCUGAAACCAUUGGGUGCUGUGUUGGGUAGCACUGGCUGCCAUUUUAAGUUCACAGAAUUACAGAAUAACGUAGACCACAAGGGAAUAAUUUAGCUUGUGCAGUUGAGCUUUGUAUGCUUCCAAGUUUGGAGAGUCCACAGCUUCUCUGGGCAACCCAUUCCUAUGCUCAGUCAUCCUCAUGUGAAAAACUGUUUUUUGUAUGUGCAGGCAAGACUUCCCUUGUUGCAAGUUGUGGCCAUUUCCCCUUGUCCUUUUGCUGCAUGCCUGUGGGAAGAGCAACUGAGUUUUUUCUAUAACCGCCCAAAUUUGUCUCAGCAUGACCAGAACAUUAAAAAUCAUGGGGAAAGAAGUUUAACUUUAUUCAUCUGAGCCUAACUGCUUUGCUCGGAACGUCAUUCAUUCUGUUCUUGUUCCUGCUCAGAGCUAACUCUGUCAUGUCAUCUAUUAGGAGUGGAGAGAAAAGGUACUAAAAUAUAGCUUAAGAGACAAAAGAAUUGUUCAACAGCAGCACACAAGCAUGCAAUAUAAGGAUUAAUCCCACAGUUGUAAUACCAUCCUUCUUCUUCCUCCCACCUUGCUUGUUUUCUCCGUAUAUCCUUUGUACAAGGAAAUGUAUUUGCCUCAUGAAGGCACCAGCUGUGGUUCUGCGCAUGUGAACAGGAAAACAAAUGAAGAGUGAAAAACCCAAACUAAACUUCACUGUGUUUUUUUUCUUUGCAGUUUUAACACUGGAAAUAACGUUGCCUUAUUUUAUUUAAUGAACGGUAAUGUAGAAAAAUUGUAUGUAAACUCACAACUGCUCCUCGCCCCCAAGCAAUUUCUCUGUAGUUACAUUUUCUAGUAAUAAGGUUACAGGACUAACACUGCAGUCAGGCCACUUCAUGAAAGGAAUUGUUUCCAUUUAUUGCACAUUCGAACUAUUUGUAACUGUUAGUUGUUUUAUAAGGCACAAAACUUUAUGAUGUCGUUGGCAACAAGUCUAUCUUACAUUAAUUUAUGAUGCUUUGAUUCUUUUUGAUGGUAUUGAUACAUAGGCACAAGUGAGUUGAUAUUCUACGUUCUUGUCUCACAUUUUCACAGAGGUGCUACACAAAAUUGCACACCAUUUCUUAAUGCCUCAGGUCUGCAUUAGGCGUAUGAAGAAGUCCGGGCACAAUAACUGAUGUCUUUGUGUUUUGAUCAAUGCCUUAGCAAUGUGCACCAAACUGUUUUUAACUCUAUCAGAUAAAUCACUCAGGAGAACUGAUGUUUCCGUGGAACGACAGUGGCACCUAUACAUUUGUCUUUAUGGAAGGAGUUCAUCUUAAAUUUAGGUUAGUAGUAAAAGAAAGCUGAAAAAUUCUGACCUGCCACGUGGGGACUGCAGAAUGGCUGCGGGACACAGUGAGAAAACUUGUGCUCAGGUUCUGUGCUGGUACAGGCUGGUGUUAUUUUUGCCAUCAGUAUGGAUAACACAAGAAACAAGAACAGAAUGCAAUAAGAUAGACCUUUAGGUCCUGAUCCUGCCGUUUGCGUAUGUGAUUAUUUAUUUACAGAAACGUUCAGCUGACCUCAGGCUUCCGUUGAUACAAAUGAAGCAUGUGACCAAAAAUAUGAAUAAUUAGGUCUUCAUUUAAAAUUAGCUAUGAGGCUUUUGCGAAUUUCUCAAAAAGAAGGUUAUUUCAGUUAAGAUUCUGAAGUCAACUUUUUUUGUUUGAGAGAUGAAAAACAUUGAAGUACUCUUCCAUGAAAGUGUGAGGUGGCACCCAGUAAAGGUUUGAGUAGUAAAAGGCAUGAUAAUGCUGUAAUUAUGCGCUAUUGAUCUGACCACGUGAGAACACUUUAAAAGUACAGAUGAUCUUAAAUUCAAUUAGUCUAAUACCUUAGAGACUCCUUUUAAACACACACUGACUUUUAGUAUUAUGCCACUUUACAAAAUCUGACAUUGUACAUCAUAAGUCAGUAAAUGACACUACUUCAAAAACAGAAAAAAGAUAUGUUGCUUAUAGCUGAUUCUGCACAAGGGAGAAAGGUGUGCGCACGCACACAUGCACACCCUGUUAUCAUUCUAGUGUAAUAGCUUAGAUUUUGGGGCUAUGUAAGCUUACUCCAGGGUCCUAAGCUACCUACGGAUAUUCCUUUUACCUUUCUUUUCUCCAGUCUCCCAAAUGUAUUGCUUCCUCAGCUACUGUGUCAGAUGUGCGGGUUGGUUAGAUCCCAGGUAAGCAGACAGGCGUUUCGCCUGGCUGUACAGUUGAAAAUGCCUGCAUGCGAGCUGAAAGUCAUUUUUUUCAUGUUUAUCAUCAACAGCUAGAAAGCAACAAUAUUUUUUUUCUCUCUUAUUUUAAUAAACAAAUUGGACUCUUAUCCAGAUUUGCCACACAGGGUAGAUAUCAAGGAUUUAUAUAAUAUUAUUCAGUGUUUAGAAAAUAUUUAAUGUCACUACAGAGUACAAUUUGCAUUAUUCUCAUUUUUCAUGCCAACAUGAUUUGUAUGGCAGCCAAUGUAUGACAGAGAAUUUCCCUAAUUAAUUUUUUUUGCUGUGUUGCCCUAACAUGACUUAAAAUGUACAGCUUAAUGUAUUAAUAUUGCUUUUAGUUUCCAUUGUAUAGCAGGUAGUAAUUUGCUAUUAAUAGCAAAUGUUUACAACAAUCUUCAGACGCAUAUGUUCUAAUGAAAGUGAACAUCCAACAUGUUGGCUAAGGAUGAGUCAUAUUUCACAACAGCUCUACAGGGAAGAAGAUUUGAGUUGUGUAUUCAUUCAGAGUAAUGGC